This 465-nucleotide ribosomal RNA is filed under the name uncultured bacterium. Its description in RNAcentral is "partial 16S ribosomal RNA". It matches the Rfam family "Bacterial small subunit ribosomal RNA", at positions 28 to 507 of the family's 1533-position model. The record is from RNAcentral.
GACGAACGCUGGCGGCGUGCUUAACACAUGCAAGUCGAACGGAAAGGCCCCUUUGGGGGUACUCGAGUGGCGAACGGGUGAGUAACACGAGAGUAACCUGCCCUUGACUUCGGGAUAACUUCAGGAAACUGGGGCUAAUACCGGAUAGGAAUCCUUGCUGCAUGGUGGGGGUUGGAAAGCUUCGGCGGUUUUGGAUGGACUCGCGGCUUAUCAGCUUGUUGGUGGGGUAGUGGCUUACCAAGGCUUUGACGGGUAGCCGGCCUGAGAGGGCGACCGGCCACAUUGGGACUGAGAUACGGCCCAGACUCCUACGGGAGGCAGCAGUGGGGAAUAUUGCACAAUGGGCGGAAGCCUGAUGCAGCAACGCCGCGUGCGGGAUGACGGCCUUCGGGUUGUAAACCGCUUUCAGCAGGGGCGAAGCUUGUGGUGACGGUACCUGCAGAAGAAGCACCGGCUAACUACGUG